Long non-coding RNA from Struthio camelus australis, 2632 nucleotides. RefSeq lists it as uncharacterized. NCBI's taxonomy places the organism in Eukaryota, Metazoa, Chordata, Aves, Struthioniformes, Struthionidae. The record is from RefSeq and is a predicted model, not a curated record.
GCCGCUGCCCCUGCGGGAGUCGCCUAGUGGUCAAGACUGCCUCUCCCGGGGACAACCGUUGCCCAGGGAGGGUGUCAAAUGGCGCCUGCCUGCCCCUGGGCUCUACCGGCGUGGAGCUGAAGGGAAAAUGAGGCGGAGAGCAGCUAGAAGAGGCACUAAGGCCUGCGGCGGGAUCCACGCUCGCUGUCUUUCAGGGCAGGGCCUGUCAUGCCUAAGACCAGCUGGUAACUCGUGUUAGCAGCCUGGCGCCGUCGCAGAUAAAGACUCCUCUCGCACUUAAAAACCAAAAAUGGUUUCAAGCGUUUUUAAAGGACCUGUUCAGACUUACCAUUGACAUAAUCUCUGCAUUUACACCUGCAGAUCAAGGAGGAGACAGAGCUGUGGGGGAGGAUCCAGGAAAAAGAAGAUUGGAGCUGCUUUGUUACAAGAAGCUGUUACCAGGAAAUGGCUUCCGUUUUUCUUAAAAUUUACUUAUUGUCCUGACUGUGUACAGGGUCAUGAAGCAGCUGGAGCCUGCAGUCUUUGCAGUGAGUCGAGGACCAGUUGAUCUGAAAUACCAAACAGUAGGAGGUAUCAACCUGUCUUUGGGAGCGGGCAAUUUAGGACAAAGCUUUCUGAAGAGGCAAAAAGAGGAAAAUCAGUUUCAGCACCCAAGGAAUUCAAUUAAGAUAGGUUGCUAUGAGAAGGAAUCAGUGAGGCUGAAGAAAUUUUGCCCUGGAAUAUGAAGCAAAAAGGGCACAGCAGUAGGUCCAGGGUAAAAGAGAUUUUCCUUGCCAAAUUCUUGCUUACCGGACUGUUGAGUGACCAUUUUAGCUGGCACCAGGAAGAGGCCGCUGAAUAUGUUCUGCAGCUUGUAGAGCCACAGAAGGCGAAGGCAUAAAUGAGACGAUACGUGGAGGCUCUAAAAGAGACAGAAAGGGAAUCACAAUCUAAUACACACCACCCAAAUGUACACCAGUGUUUCCCUUUUGCCAGAGAUACAGCAGUGCGUAUACACCACCCUUACUCUGCUCAUGGGUGUGGAUACACAAAGGAAUCAUCUGUUCAGAGUGACUGCCUUUCCUGACAUUGCUAGGAAAUGGUAAGGAGGUGGAGCUGUGUAAACAGGACUAUGAGCCUAUUCAGUACUGUAAUAAAAAGAAGAGCUGUUGAUUUAUAAUAUAUAGAAGCCCAGUUGCUUUAACAAGUACUACAGCACAAGCCCGCAGUCAAGUUUUUUUUCAUGUGAGCAUGAAGUUACUUGUCAUUAGUUAUCAAUGUGUAAUAAGUCCUUGAACACUGCACAAUAAUUGCAGUCAGUUUUUUGCUAUGUUCCUUGUAUUCCUGGCUUUACAAUGGGCUGAAACAGCUAAAAAAUGUCCUAUAUGGGACAGAAGUCACUUUAUAAUCUAGUGAAUGCUAGUUACUAGUUUCUGUUCUUUUUCUUUCUAUUUUCCUUUUCUAAAAAGCCAACAAUAACAAAAAAACAACCUUCCCCCAUCAGCUUUUUAGGGGGGAAAGGAAUAUGAAAUCUUAGCUCAAUCUUGGAAAAGCUAUGACUAGCUGAAAAAGUUCUGAAAGCAAGCAACCAAGCAAAGCAAUGAUAUUUAGAGGCAAACACUGGUGAAUAAAAGGAAUGCUUAAUGUGGUGUACAGCAAAUGCAUGUAACUCACUGCUGACUUCAGUGAGUUAACAGCUCAGAAGCUGGCUGCUGUCUCGCUCGCUCGCGCUCGCUCUCUCUCUCUCCCUAUACUGAUAGUCUCAACUUACAUCUCCUUUGAUAACCGUAGCAGAUGAAUAUGAAGUGCUUUUCUCAAGUAACCAAACUCAAAAACUUUUCAGAUUUGAAAUGAACAAUAACCUGGCAUUGAAUUACACCCAGAGCCGUAGUGCAACCUGAAUCAGCGUUUAAUUCCUAAGUACGUGCUGUUGAAACGGGAGAUCACCAAGUUGCAUAGUCUCAGACAGAUCCAAGUUUAGUAGAACGUACAGUCAUUUGUCAGUUGUAGAUGAAAAAAGUCUGUUCUACAUCUGCAGCUGUAUGAGUGACUGCAAACAGUGAGGACUCAUGAUGGCAACCAGCAGUGAUUUGUUAGAAGAUACUACAAAGAAGCAAUUUCUUCAAAAUAUUUCUCUGCUCCUCUUUCAGCAUUUUUUUUCCGUCAGUCAACUGUUUUCACGCAAACUGCAGCAUCCUAGGAUAUGAUGCCAACUAAAUCUGAUACUUCUGGUAAUGUGGUAAUAUAAUUAAGGGGCACUGCUUUCUCAAGAAGCGUUUCUGAUGGACUCAGCCACACCUUUGCUACACAAUUAAUGCUGACUUCCAGGGAACUGGUGGCAUCACAGCCUUCAAACCUGAGACAGUCGUGCUAAGAGCGUCCUGGUUUAAUCCCGAGAUGAGAUGGUUUCCACGGGGAGUUUUCAACUGUCAGCUCCGUUCUUCAAAGCCUGCUUCUCAGGCCAUAUUGAAAAGAUGCAAACUUGACAUACUGUGCCCCAAGGGAGGAAAUAUGACUCUCUCAGGUCACUCAAGACCUAUUGCUGGCUAGUCACAUCCAUGCGCUGUGCUGAAAUUCACCCCAAGAGACGGUGGCUUGCAACAUGGAGCUGUCACGCAGCGGUCCUUGCCAGGGAGCCGCACCUCCUGCAGGU